This 252-nucleotide ribosomal RNA is filed under the name uncultured bacterium. RNAcentral's name for it is "partial 16S ribosomal RNA". It matches the Rfam family "Bacterial small subunit ribosomal RNA", at positions 524 to 776 of the family's 1533-position model. The record is from RNAcentral.
UACGUAGGGAGCAAGCGUUGUCCGGAAUCAUUGGCGUAAAGCGCGUGUAGGCGGUUCAGUAAGUCUGCUGUGAAAGUCCAGGGCUCAACCCUGGGAUGCCGGUGGAUACUGCUGGACUAGAGUGCGGAAGAGGAGAGUGGAAUUCCUGGUGUAGCGGUGAAAUGCGCAGAGAUCCGGAGGAACACCGACGGCGUAGGCAGCGCCCUGGACGACACCUGACGCUGAGGCACGAAAGCUGGGGGAGCGAACAGG